This 106-nucleotide microRNA precursor is filed under the name Erythranthe guttata (spotted monkey flower). Its description in RNAcentral is "Mimulus guttatus (spotted monkey flower) MIR390 microRNA precursor family". It matches the Rfam family "MIR390 microRNA precursor family". Lineage: Eukaryota; Viridiplantae; Streptophyta; Magnoliopsida; Lamiales; Phrymaceae. The record is from Rfam by way of RNAcentral.
UAGAAUGAUCCGUAAAGCUCAGGAGGGAUAGCACCACGUCGUUUCUAUGCAAUUAUAUAUAUAUAGAUGUGGGAGCUAUCCAUCCUGAGUUUCAUGGUUCCUUCUU